Molecule: ribosomal RNA, 253 nt
Filed under: uncultured bacterium
Lineage: Bacteria
Description: partial 16S ribosomal RNA
Rfam family: Bacterial small subunit ribosomal RNA
Source: RNAcentral
UACGGGGGGGGCAAGCGUUGUUCGGAAUUACUGGGCGUAAAGGGCGCGUAGGCGGCCAACUAAGUCAGACGUGAAAUCCCUCGGCUUAACCGGGGAACUGCAUCUGAUACUGGAUGGCUUGAGUUCGGGAGAGGGAUGUGGAAUUCCAGGUGUAGCGGUGAAAUGCGUAGAUAUCUGGAGGAACACCGGUGGCGAAGGCGGCAUCCUGGACCGACACUGACGCUGAGGAGCGAAAGCCAGGGGAGCAAACGGG